GUUUGAAAAAAGAGAGAAUAGAGUGCCGAAGCACUUAGAGUGAAGAGAAAGAAUAAUAUAGUGUUUGUGUGUGUUUUUAGUUGUAUUACAAAAUAAUUUGAGAGUGAUUGUGAGAUUAAAAAUAUUAUAUUGUGUGGUGUGUUGUUUGUCUUCUAGUCAAUUUAAUACAAAAGUUUCUUUUCAAUUACCCAUAAUUUCUUUUAUAUUUCCAACAAGUGGUAUCAGAGCCACGUUCGAUCAAAAAUG
This 246-nucleotide long non-coding RNA is filed under the name Nicotiana benthamiana. Its description in RNAcentral is "long non-coding RNA (NBEN_LNC018933)". The record is from RNAcentral. Lineage: Eukaryota; Viridiplantae; Streptophyta; Magnoliopsida; Solanales; Solanaceae.